This is a long non-coding RNA of Chinchilla lanigera (long-tailed chinchilla), 704 nucleotides long. RefSeq lists it as uncharacterized. The record is from RefSeq and is a predicted model, not a curated record. The transcript is spliced from 4 exons. NCBI's taxonomy places the organism in Eukaryota, Metazoa, Chordata, Mammalia, Rodentia, Chinchillidae.
CUUCAUUUAGCCAAGCCAAGCAGACAGUCUCCACUCUUUGGGAACCCUCACAGAAGCAGGUGAAUGUCUAUAUCCCCAUCUUGAAGAUGAGGAAAUUGAAGCCCAGAGAAUUAAGUAAUUUCUCCAUAAUGACACAGCUCUUAAGUGGGCAAGGUUUGACAACAUAGAUAAAUUAUUUUGAUCACCAAAAUGAACGACUCCUCCCCAGCAAAGUACACUUUAAGAAAAGUAUCAAGCAAGAGGAAUUUGCUGUUAAGGUUCAUUUUUCUUGCAAAUACAUUUCCUCUGGUUGGAAAGAGGAAACAAGCUUUCCUCCUCUGCUCCACACACCACAGAAGAAAGGGCAUGAAGAGGAAGUGAAGUGUGGGCUCCUGAUACAGAGCUCCUAAAACUCUUGAAAUCUGUAGAGCAGUGAGAGUACUUCUGGUAUGCUAAUGAGAUGAUUCUUGGCUCAGGGUCCCCUAAAGCUUCAGGAUAGAGGCUCAUCCCCCAGAAGAUCAACCACCUGAUUAGAGUUUGGAACCUGAAGCCCCCUUCCCAGACCCUUGGAAAGGGAGGAGGAGCUGGACUUUGAGUUAAUUACCAAUGGCUGAUGAGUUAAUCAUGCCUUCUUAAUGGAGCCUGCGAGGGAAAUUCUAGAAGAAUGGUGAACACAUUGAGGUGAACUUGGAAAGGGCUCAGAAGAUCUAUGGCCCUACACAACU